This 2409-nucleotide ribosomal RNA is filed under the name human gut metagenome. Its description in RNAcentral is "bacterial LSU rRNA". It matches the Rfam family "Bacterial large subunit ribosomal RNA", at positions 14 to 2514 of the family's 2925-position model. The record is from RNAcentral.
AGAGCGCAAGGGGAAUGCCUUGGCAUCAGGAGCCGACGAAGGACGUGACAAGCUGCGAUAAGCCACGGGGAGGAGCAAAUAUCCGUUAUAUCCGUGGAUUUCCGAAUGGGGGAACCCGCUCAAGCAAUACUUGAGCAUCGUGCGUUGAAUCAAAUAGGCGUACGAAGGGAACGGCCUGAACUGAAACAUCUAAGUAGGGCCAGGAAAAGACAUCAACCGAGAUUCCGCUAGUAGUGGCGAGCGAACGCGGAGGAGGCCAAACCGAGGGACGCAAGUUCUUCGGGGUUGCGGACAGACAUCAAGACCAGAGGAAAUUAAGAGAACGGCGUGGGAAAGCCGGCCACAGAAGGUGAGAGCCCUGUAUCUGAAAAUGAAGACUGGCAGUCUGGAUCCAGAGUACCGCGGGACACGUGAAACCCCGUGGGAAACCGGGUGGACCACCAUCCAAGCCUAAAUACUACCUGAUGACCGAUAGAGGAGCAGUACCGUGAGGGAAAGGUGAAAAGGACCCCGGGAGGGGAGUGAAAGAGAACCUGAAACCUUGUGCCUACAAGCACAUAGAGCCCGUCAAAGGGUGAUAUGGUACUUUUUGUAGAACGGUCCGGCGAGCGAUUGUACGUUGCGAGCUUAAGGUCUUAAGGACUGGAGGCGUAGCGAGAGCGAGUCUAAACAGGGCGUUUAGUAGCGUGCAAUGGGCCCGAAACCGGGUGACCUACCCAUGAUCAGGCUGAAGUGAAAGUAAAAUUUCAUGGAGGGCCGAACCGACCUCCGUUGAAAAGGCGGCGGAUGAAUUGUGGGUAGCGGAGAAAUUCCAAUCGAACUCGGAGAUAGCUGGUUCUCCCCGAAAUAGCUUUAGGGCUAGCCUCAUGUUAGAUAUCCGGAGGUAAAGCACUGAAUGGCCUAGCGUCCGAGAGGAUAGCGAAGCCUAUCAAACUAAGAAUGCCGGAAUAUUGAUGCAUGGGAGUCAGACAGUGUGAGAUAAAUCUCAUUGUCAAAAGGGAAACAGCCCAGAUCUACAGCUAAGGUCCCAAAUUGUAUCUAAGUGGAAAACGAUGUGGAAAUACGCAGACAACCAGGAUGUUGGCUCAGAAGCAGCCACUCAUUUAAAGAGUGCGUAAUAGCUCACUGGUCGAGCGUCUCUGCGCGGAAAAUUUAACGGGGCUAAGAUACAAACCGAAGCUUAGGCUGCACUUUUAGUGCGGGGUAGGGGAGCGUUGUGUAAGCGGAGAAACAGUAGCGAAAGCGGCUGUGGAGUUUACAGAAGUGAGAAUGCCGGAAUGAGUAGCGCGAAUGAUGUGAGAAUCAUCAUGGCCGGAAACCUCAGGUUUUUGGAGGAAGGUUCGUCCGCUCCAAGUUAGGCGGGAGCUAAGGUGAGGCCGAAAGGCGUAGCCGAUGCACAGACGGUAGAGAUUCCGUCACCACCAAAAGAGUUAAGCACAGGGACACAUAUGAAGUCUCAGAGCCGGGUGUUGGUUCCGGUAGAGAUCGAGGGAAAUUAGUACCGAAGUCUGAGAUGGAAGAUGGCGAGAAAAGCUGUGUGUAUUUCUGAGGUGCCCGUACCGCAAACCGACACAGGUAGGUAGGAAGAAGAUUCUAAGGCCAACGGGAGAAGGGUUGUUAAGGAACUCGGCAAAUUGACCCCGUAACUUCGGGAGAAGGGGUGCUCCAGAGAUGGAGCCGCAGAGAAUCGGCCCAAGCAACUGUUUACCAAAAACACAGGUUUGUGCUAAAUCGAAAGAUGACGUAUACGAGCUGACGCCUGCCCGGUGCUGGAAGGUUAAGAGGAGAUGUGCAAGCAUUGAAUCGAAGCCCCAGUGAACGGCGGCCGUAACUAUAACGGUCCUAAGGUAGCGAAAUUCCUUGUCAGGUAAGUUCUGACCCGCAUGAAAGGCGUAAUGAUUUGGGCACUGUCUCAACAGCCCGCCCGGCGAAAUUGUAGUACCGGUGAAGAUGCCGGUUACCCGCGACAAGACGGAAAGACCCCAUGGAGCUUUACUGUAGCCUAAUAUUGGGUUUCGAUGUUGCAUGCACAGGAUAGAUGGGACUCUGGGAAACCAAGGCUUUGGCUUUGGCGGAGAGGCCGUUGGGAUACCAUCCUUGCGAUAUUGGAAUUCUAACCUGCGGCUCUGAAUCGAGUCGGGGGACAUUGUUAGGUGGGCAGUUUGACUGGGGCGGUCGCCUCCUAAAGAGUAACGGAGGCGUUCAAAGGUUCGCUCAGCUUGAACGGAAAUCAAGCAAAAGAGUGCAAACGCAGAAGCGAGCCUAACUGCGAGACUGACGGGUCGAGCAGUAACGAAAGUUGGAGUUAGUGAUCCGGUGGUAUGUGAGUGGAAAUGCCAUCGCUCAACGGAUAAAAGUUACCCUGGGGAUAACAGGCUGAUCUCCCCCAAGAGUCCACAUCGACGGGGA